Molecule: non-coding RNA, 407 nt
Organism: Dermochelys coriacea (leatherback sea turtle)
Lineage: Eukaryota; Metazoa; Chordata; Testudines; Dermochelyidae
Source: the annotation of a RefSeq genome assembly
GGUGGAGGGGGUCAGACCGGGUCCCUCUAGAAGAAGCCAUGUUGAGGUGUUUUCUUCUCACCCUUUGGGUACUGACUCGUCUAGGUGCUGCGCUGGGUGACUCGGUCCAGCCCGAAAAAUCGCAAGUGUCUGGAAUAGAAGCAGACUCUGUGGCUCUCCGCUGUUCCUACGAUACUAGCUCUACCGAUUAUGUCUAUCUGAAUUGGUACCGUCAACAUCCGAAUCAAGCCCUCCAGUACAUUCUCAAGAGAGGGGUGAAGCGAGCUCAGGGUUACGCUCAUACUGCAGAUUUCGCCAAAAAGAGGUUUUCUUCCCAGGUUGAUGACAGCUCCACAGUUCUGAACAUCACCUCCCUGGAGCUGGCAGACACAGCGGUGUAUUCCUGCGCCCUGGAGAGGGCACUGUGA